UUCUUAUCCAGAGCAGGCUGAGGGACUGGCCCGAUGACGCCCGGCAACCGACUGUCAAGAGCAUGCGGCUCUUGCGGCACGGUGCUAACUCCUGCAGGAAUGUUUCCUGAGAGAUGAGAG
Molecule: non-coding RNA, 120 nt
Filed under: Bacillus sp. (in: firmicutes)
Lineage: Bacteria; Bacillati; Bacillota; Bacilli; Caryophanales; Bacillaceae
Also listed under: 1 other name
Description: Bacillus sp. SAM-I sequence
Rfam family: SAM riboswitch aptamer (S box leader)
About the family: The SAM riboswitch is found upstream of a number of genes which code for proteins involved in methionine or cysteine biosynthesis in Gram-positive bacteria. The SAM riboswitch acts at the level of transcription termination control. The predicted structure consists of a complex stem-loop region followed by a single stem loop terminator region.
Source: RNAcentral